GCAUAACGCGAAGAACCUUACCUGGGCUUGACAUGCAUCUCUAAGCGCGUGAAAGCGCGUGACCCUUCGGGGGAUUUGCACAGGUGCUGCAUGGCCGUCGUCAGCUCGUGUCGUGAGAUGUUGGGUUAAGUCCCGCAACGAGCGCAACCCUCAUGUUCUGUUGCCCUUCGGGGAUCUCUGAACAGACUGCCCAGGUCAACUGGGAGGAAGGUGGGGAUGACGUCAAGUCCGUAUGGCCCUUACACCCAGGGCUGCACACGUACUACAAUGCCCAGCACAAAUGGAACCGACACCGCGAGGUGAAGGAAAUCGAAAAAACUGGGCUCAGUUCGGAUCGUAGGCUGCAAUUCGCCUACGUGAAGUUGGAAUCGCUAGUAAUGGCGCAUCAGCUACGGCGCCGUGAAUACGUUCCCGGGUCUUGUACACACCG
Molecule: ribosomal RNA, 430 nt
Filed under: uncultured bacterium
Lineage: Bacteria
Description: bacterial SSU rRNA
Rfam family: Bacterial small subunit ribosomal RNA
Source: RNAcentral